GAUGAACGCUAGCGGCAGGCUUAAUACAUGCAAGUCGUGGGGCAGCAUGAGUAGCAAUACUUGAUGGCGACCGGCAAACGGGUGAGGAACACGUACACAACCUUCCUUCAAGCGGGGAAUAGCCCAGAGAAAUUUGGAUUAAUACCCCAUAAUAUAUUUGAUAAGGCAUCUUAUUAAUAUUAAAGCUUCGGCGCUUGAUGAUGGGUGUGCGGCUGAUUAGAUAGUUGGCGGGUAACGGCCCACCAAGUCUACGAUCAGUAGCUGAUGUGAGAGCAUGAUCAGCCACACGGGCACUGAGACACGGGCCCGACUCCUACGGGAGGCAGCAGUAAGGAAUAUUGGACAAUGGACGAAAGUCUGAUCCAGCCAUGCCGCGUGAAGGAUUAAGGUCCUCUGGAUUGUAAACUUCUUUAUAUGGGACGAAAAAAGGGCAUUCUUGUUCACUUGACGGUACCAUAUGAAUAAGCACCGGCUAACUCCGUGCCAGCA
RNAcentral lists this ribosomal RNA (489 nucleotides) under uncultured bacterium. RNAcentral describes it as "bacterial SSU rRNA". It matches the Rfam family "Bacterial small subunit ribosomal RNA", at positions 28 to 513 of the family's 1533-position model. The record is from RNAcentral.